UACGAAGGGGGCUAGCGUUGCUCGGAUUGACUGGGCGUAAAGGGCGCGUAGGCGGUUCGUACAGUCAGACGUGAAAUUCCUGGGCUCAACCUGGGGGCUGCGUUUGAUACGUGCGGACUUGAGUGCGGAAGAGGGUCGUGGAAUUCCCAGUGUAGAGGUGAAAUUCGUAGAUAUUGGGAAGAACACCGGUGGCGAAGGCGGCGACCUGGUCCAUUAUUGACGCUGAGGCGCGACAGCGUGGGGAGCAAACAGG
Molecule: ribosomal RNA, 253 nt
Filed under: uncultured bacterium
Lineage: Bacteria
Description: partial 16S ribosomal RNA
Rfam family: Bacterial small subunit ribosomal RNA
Source: RNAcentral